GACGAACGCUGGCGGCGUGCUUAACACAUGCAAGUCGAACGGUGAAGCGCCUUCCUUUUUGGUGGGUGUGGAUGAGUGGCGAACGGGUGAGUAACACGUGAGUAACCUGCCCCCUUCUUCUGGAUAACCGCAUGAAAGUGUGGCUAAUACGGGAUAUUCUGGGUCUGUCGCAUGAUGGGUCUGGGAAAGAUAUUGUUUCGGUGGGGGAUGGGCUCGCGGCCUAUCAACUUGUUGGUGGGGUGAUGGCCUACCAAGGCGGUGACGGGUAGCCGGCCUGAGAGGGUGGACGGUCACACUGGGACUGAGACACGGCCCAGACUCCUACGGGAGGCAGCAGUGGGGAAUAUUGCACAAUGGGCGCAAGCCUGAUGCAGCGACGCCGCGUGAGGGAUGGAGGCCUUCGGGUUGUGAACCUCUUUCGCCAGUGAAGCAGGCCUGCCUCGUUUGUGGGUGGGUUGACGGUAGCUGGAUAAGAAGCGCCGGCUAACUACGUG
RNAcentral lists this ribosomal RNA (494 nucleotides) under uncultured bacterium. Its description in RNAcentral is "partial 16S ribosomal RNA". It matches the Rfam family "Bacterial small subunit ribosomal RNA", at positions 28 to 507 of the family's 1533-position model. The record is from RNAcentral.